Molecule: ribosomal RNA, 483 nt
Filed under: uncultured bacterium
Lineage: Bacteria
Description: bacterial SSU rRNA
Rfam family: Bacterial small subunit ribosomal RNA
Source: RNAcentral
CCUGGCUCAGAGCGAACGCUGGCGGCAGGCCUAACACAUGCAAGUCGAACGCCCCUUCGGGGGAGUGGCGGACGGGUGAGUAACGCGUGGGAACGUGCCCUUUGGUACGGAACAACUGAGGGAAACUUCAGCUAAUACCGUAUGUGCCCUAUGGGGGAAAGAUUUAUCGCCAUUGGAGCGGCCCGCGUUAGAUUAGCUAGUUGGUAGGGUAAUGGCCUACCAAGGCGACGAUCUAUAGCUGGUCUGAGAGGAUGAUCAGCCACACUGGGACUGAGACACGGCCCAGACUCCUACGGGAGGCAGCAGUGGGGAAUCUUGCGCAAUGGGCGAAAGCCUGACGCAGCCAUGCCGCGUGAAUGAUGAAGGUCUUAGGAUUGUAAAAUUCUUUCACCGGGGACGAGUAAUGACGGUACCCGGAGAAGAAGCCCCGGCUAACUUCGUGCCAGCAGCCGCGGUAAUACGAAGGGGGCUAGCGUUGCUCGG